UACGUAGGCAGCGAGCGUUGUUCGGAAUUACUGGGCGUAAAGAGUGUGUAGGCGGUGCUCCCAGUCUGUUGUGAAAUCUCCCGGCUUAACUGGGAGGGUGCAGCGGAAACUAGAGUGCUAGAGGGUGGGAGAGGUAAGCGGAAUUCCUGGUGUAGCGGUGAAAUGCGUAGAUAUCAGGAGGAACACCUGUGGUGUAGACGGCUUUCUGGACCAUAACUGACGCUGAGACACGAAAGCGUGGGUAGCAAACAGG
RNAcentral lists this ribosomal RNA (253 nucleotides) under uncultured bacterium. Its description in RNAcentral is "partial 16S ribosomal RNA". It matches the Rfam family "Bacterial small subunit ribosomal RNA", at positions 524 to 776 of the family's 1533-position model. The record is from RNAcentral.